CACAAGAAGAACAGUUAGGUACAUGUUAGUUAAAGUCACAGACUGUGUGCUGUAUUAACAAAUACAUUCUGUAAUCUGUUAAAAUAGUUUAAAAGGGAUCUUUGUACAACCAAACGACUUGUGCCUUGCUAGAGGGAAGGAUUCACCUCCAUAUUAAGACACUCUUUGGGUGUCUAAACUCCCCAUACCCCAAGAUGAUUCAGCCAGUGUGGAUAAGUGUUGAGGUGUUGUUGAGGGUCCCCAGGACGAGGUGAGAGAUGAGAAUUUGACUCCAAGUUCUCAGAAGGCAGAUUUAUUAUUUUAUGAUUAUAUUAUAUUCUAAGAAAUUAUAUACUAAAACUAUACUAAAGAAAGAGAAAGGAGACAUCAUGACAAGAAUGAAUGAUAAAAAUUCGUGACUGACCAGAGUGUCCAACACAGCUGGACUGGGAUUGGUCAUAAAAUAAAAACAAUUCACAUGGAACCAAUCAAAGAUGCACCUGUUGGUAAGAAACGUCCAGACCAAGGAGGAGGUUUGCUCAGAUUCCAAGCAAUCAGAUAAUUAUUGUUUACAUUUCUUUUCUGAGGCUUCUCAGGAGAAAUAUCCUGGUGAAGGAAUUUUUCAGAAAAUACCAUGGUGACAGAUAAGAGCCUACAGCUAUUGAGCUGACCAGCUACUUGGUGAGUGCUUGGACUGAAUUCAUCCUCAGGGUUCACUGCAAGCACUGAAUUUUAUUGGACCAUAACCACAUUGGACACAUGUAGAGGAGUGUUUUAAUCAUAUAUGUUUAGACAUUCAAGUGUCUUAACCUGCAGCUGAAUCUCAUCUUGACUGUCCCUCUUUCCUUUGAUAACUUCUACAGAUCCCCAUGAACACACCUCUAUAACAAAGGUGUGUUUAAACGUAUUUUCAGGCUGACCAAAUGUACAAAUCCAUGCUACUACUAUCCAUGUAACAUGACAUAAAGCAGCAACACAACCUUCUCUGCAAGAUUUCUGCAAUCUUUUUGAGCAAACUUCACUGCCCAUCACUUUGUUUGUCCCUGUAGUGGACUGCCUUCUUUUGCUCUGACCCCUGGUCUUUUGUCUUUGUAUGACAUCCAGGAAAACAUGAGGUCUGUGAGGAUGGGCAGAGAGAAAAGACUGAAACAUCAAAAGAGCCUGAAGAGACUGACAGGAGGCUGCAGGUGAUUCACCUGGUACUGGGAAAGUAGGAGACCAAGUAUAUGAUAAUAAAUGAUUAGGAAUAAUUGGACUCUGGCCUAUCGAUAGUCUGGCUAGGAUAAUGCUUCAAUUUAAGGUUUGGGAAAAAAAACCCCAAAGGUAGAAAUUUGUGAUGGAGGACUAGCAAAGAUCACAACAAGUUCCUGGAGGAGUAUGCAGUGUUUCUGCCCAUCUUCAACACUGAGUAAGAACAAUUGCACACAGAGUAGCUGUGGGAUAGCAGCCAGGAAAGGAAGAGGGGAUGCCCUGGCCCCAGCUGCUACUUCCCUUCCUCUCUGUCAGGGAUGGGCUGUUGGGUACAGCCAGUCUAACACUCAAGAGAUGGGCAUCUCUGGACCUGGGCAUCACAAGUAAAUCACAGCCUCAGAGAGCAAUUUUGAACAACUAAGAAAGCAGCAAUAAAACUUGACCAUAAUUUGCAUUGGCCCACCUGUAUUCUGCAAUGCAAGAACCACAGGCACACCACAUGCUCACUGCCAUUAAACAAAACACAGUCCCUUACAGCCCACCCCAACCAGCUCCCACCACACACAUCAGACUGAAUCCUCAAAGAAGAAUGCAUGCUUUUCCUCACUAGUGAAACCUUCUCUUUCUGAUAGAUUGCAUUUGAACAUGUGGUUAUGUACACCUCUGUCCUAGAAAUAGCAAUGGAAAAAUUUUACCUGUACAAGCUAAAUCACAGAAUUCUUGAGCAAGCUGCCUGACAAAUUCUAAUUGGAAAUUUCAUGGGUUGAAAACCAGAUUUUCUGACCUUUUCAUAUACUGAUCAACCAAGGUCUAUUAAUGUCUCAAGAAAUCUAGCCUGAUGAGCUAAAUGAAUCUUAAAUGGAUCCUACAUGUAGUAAAUUUAAAAACUCUGUAAGGUGACUCUAUUAUGAUCUUCAAGCUCCAACUGGACUUCCUGACUUCCACAGAGCUUUAUCUUUGUAAAUCUCUAUGCUAAUUAUAUCUCUGUUGCAUGAUUUAUCAGUUUGAAGGACUAGGAUUAGUAUUUUAAAAGACACAAAAAACAUUGAAGAACUCAAUCUCCCAUUGCACCUCUCAAUUCCAGAGCAAAAGAUGAACUGCAAUGCUUGUUCACCAAUAGGGUAGUACAAACAAUUUGGAUAUGCUGCUUCACAAACAUACUUGAAGGGACAAAAAUAGCAAUCCUCUAAAUUAAAACAAUCUGACCCCAACACUUUAAACUUGGCUUGUCCAGCAACAAGUAGAGAUAUGAGAUAAGAUAUUGUACAGAUCACCAAUCUUUUUUAAAUGAGGAAAUUACAGAAUAAAAGUAGAUCACAUGUUGCACACUCAUGAAGUCCCUUGAGCCACUGCAGGAUGGUGAUCAAAUUUUUUCAGGCAUUCCUAAAUGAGUCUUCUGGAAAAAAUAUUACACAAGUGUCAUAAAAAAUUCUAAGGGAUGUAAACUGAAAAUUGAAAGGGAUUUUCUUGAAGUUAGGUAACUUUGAAAGAAUCGGAGUUUACAGCGCUCCAUAUGGCCAGCAAUUCAAAAGAAAGAGAGCAUCACUGGUAAUAACCCAUAUUUCCAGUAAACUCCCUGAAACUCCUAAGUCAUAUCUGGAAAACCCCAAAAAUUCUCCUAGAAAAGCCAGGAAGAGCUAAUUUUCCAGUAUUUCCACAUAUUUAAAUAAAUAAAUAAAUAAAUAAACAUAAAACCCCAAACCUCUUGGCUUUUUAACAUUAAAACAUCCUCCUGUGCAUACGCCCCGAGGCACGUCCUCGGCGGCACCCAGCGGGACCCUCGCAGCAACCCCGGUGCCUCACAACCCACCCCAAUCUCGGCGGGCCGCUCCCUCUAUCCCCUUCCCCUCUCUGCAGCCCGCAAUUCCGGCGGGGAACGGGUCACUGUCAUUCUUUUCCCUGCGUCCCGCUGGACCCGUGCGGAGGGCGGGCGGGCGAGCGCUCCCGCCCGGGGGCGAGGCACCCCCGGCGCUGCGCCGCACCUGCUCCGGGGGCACCCGCGGGGCUGCAGGUGCCCACGGGAGGCAGGCGCCCACAGGAAAGGAGGUGCCCACGGGAGGCAGAUGCCCACGGGGUACAGAAGCCCACGGGAAGCAGGUGGCCACGGGAGGCAGGUGCCCAUGGAAAGAGCGGUGGGAGCAGCGCGGAGCGGCGCGCAGCAAUGCCUCCCGCAGCUCCCCCACCCAACGCUGUCCCGCUGCCUGUGCCAUUCCCGAGCCGCCCUUCCCGGCAGCAGGCGUGAUGGGAAGCGGACUCUUUUACUUUCAUUCUGCGGGGAAAAGAGCGAAAAAUAAAAGCAAAACUGGGAAUUUCCCCAGCCGUCACCAAGGGUUUAAAAGGCACCGGGAAGCACCGCGCCGGCAGAGCAGGAGGGACGGCGGGGCCGACGGCUGGGAGGCAGCGGAGCAGGUGAGGAGCCAGCGCGGCCGGGGUGCGGAGCGGCGCCAGUCCGGGGCAGCAGGGUAAAGAAGCCUUGUGGAGGUCACUGGAGAGGAACUGGAUCUCAGUCAGCUCUGGCAAGACUCCUGUGGCCAGUGUCAUGGUCUCUGCUACUCCAUCUGCCGAGGUUCUGAUGCUGCUUCUUCAGCUGUGUUACCAGGGAGCCCCAGGGAGCCUCUGCACCCCAUCAGCAGGGCUGCUGUGUCACAGUGCUCAGUGUCCCUCUGCUGACUCACAACUACCCUUGCAAAAACUGUUCCUCUAAGAACAAAUCCUAAGGAGAAAAUGUUUGAGUUUCUUUUUUGUUGAUUUGGGUUGUUUUUUGGUUUUUUUUACCCAAGCCAAAUAGUCCCAACAGUGGACCCUGGUUAGAGUGAAGUUCCAGAAAGGAGCAUUUGGAAUGGUAUCCUUUACAAAGCCAUCAUGACAGUGGAAUCAUGGAACCAUUAGGUUGAGAAAAAACCUCAAGACCACCAAAUUCAGCCAUUAACCCAGCACUGCCAAGUCCAGCUCUAAAGCAUGUCCCUAAGUGCCAUGUCUGCAUGUCUUUUGAAUACCUCCAGGGGUAGUAAUGUCAUUGCAUGGCCAACUGAAACACCACCUGAAAUACUUCUUCACUGACUGUUAACUCUGCUAGUCACUGAUGUGUACUAUAAGGAAUAUGAGUUUCUGUGAUUAUGAUUAAAUUGAUUUUUACUUGUCAAUAUUCUGGUAGUCUCUGAAAUCUCAUAUUCUAAUUAUAUGCUUGAUAAAGUGGUGGGUUUCUUUUCUCUGCUUUGGACUUUUGACAUGUUUUAAGAGGAAAUGCAUCACCAAGAUUUACCAUGCUGAAGCCUUGAAGGACCAAAUACUAUUUGUGGGAUGUGCAAUUAUGGUAUUACCAGAAGAGAUACCAUUUAAGGUUUUCCACAUAUUACUAAAAGUCUUAUCAACAAAACAUUUUGUCAUUGGACAAGCAAGCACCUUAGCCUUUCUGACAGCUCUUGUUCGAGAAUGCCAUUAUAAAUUUAAGAUAUUGUAGUACAACCUCUUGUUUUUAACCUAAAAGCAACAAGAGGUUGCAAGAAAAAAGCUGUAAGCUCCACAGACUGAUGCCUUUCAUUAUCAGGAAAAGCUGACGUUAGUGUGAAUUCUUAAUUAAUACUUCAAGUCAUCUUGGAGCAUUCCAUAGUGUUUCACCCAUUUUAUUUGUAACCUCUAAUCCUGAUCAGUCAAUGAUCAGAUAUAUGAAUUAUAAAUUCAUAUAUUCAGAUAUAUGAAUUUCAGCCAAGGCAUCUUCACCAAAAGGCCAUUUAAUAAUUUUACUCUAUUAAAUAUAAUUUUAUGAAAAGGAAACACUGCCUAUAGCACACUUCCAUGUAAACAAAGCCCUAAUAAACUGGAGAGAAGGAGAACAAAGGCAGCUGGGAAGGUUCAGGAUGCAGAGUUGAUCUGCUCCUGGUGCCUAAGGCCUGGCUGCUCUCUUGUGUAACUGAUUGUAUGAACCCCUGAGCUAAAUGUAGGGCCUAAAUGCACUUAAUGAACCUUAGAGUGCAAUCAAAAAGACAAAUAUGAUAAGUCUGAAAUAUGAGGGUUUUUUUCUUCUUUGGAGACCUUUGGAUUCCUCUUCAUCUUGAUAAAAGCACCAUUGUAUCCUGCAGUGUUUGCCACUGAAACUGUGUUCCAGCCUAAUGCUGAAACCACAAAAAUCUGAGUAAUCACCCUGUUUUAUUCUUUACAUUGACCACUGUCUCUACUAUGGCAUCACUGAGGGAAAAGGAAACAAUAUUCUAAAGACACUAACCUAGGUUAGUUUAACUUAAUCUCUGGCUUCAGCCUACAGUACUUGUCAGAAAAAUAUAUUAAUGUGGGACUUUUACUGUUCUCAGAGUAGCCUUUGUCAGGAGUUUGAAAUGUCUGAAACAGGAUAAUGAAAGAAUCCUUAAAGGUCUGCUUCAGUGUUCUGAUCUUUCUUCAUUUUUUAGAGCUUUUCUGAAAAAAAUUCAGUGUGCCCUUCUGAAAAAGAGCUGAGAAACCAGUCACAUUAAACCAUAUUUCUUCUCCUGUAAACUCCCCCCUGGCUGUACUUGACACUAUCCUAUGUUGGAUUUUGCAGCUUUGGCUCUGAAACAGUGAUCAGUAUCUAUGGACCUAUUUUACAAACUUAAUUUCAGCAAGGAAAAGAACAGCAUAUUUGGAUUGAAAAAGACCUAUUACAUUCUUCCCUCUUCUCCCUCCUGUAAGCACAAGUUCAUUUCUACAGUACACUGUCUGCUUGCUCAUAAAUCUUUGCUUAAAAAUCUAGAGCUUUACAUCUCUGAGAAGACUGCAGCAGAGAAACACUUUUUCCUCACACAUUUUCCUGAGUCAAAAAUUCUUCCUAAUCAGCUGUGCACAUUGAUAUACUGUUCUACUCUACUAUCUUCUGUUUCUGUUUCUUGCAAGGAGCAAGAGGUUUUUACAAAACUUUUCCUGUUAGUAACUAUUUUCAGCUCUUACCUGUGUAGUCCCCUAAGAUAGUGAAAAUAUGGACUCCAUUUUUAUCUAAUUUUCAUAUUUUUUUCAAGAAACCCAGCACAACUAUGCUUUCAUAGUCACAAAAAUGUCUGUAAUAUGGCACAAAUAUUAUGACCACAACUUUUUAAGUAACUCACAUGUACAUAUUCUAUUUUCUUCUGAAUGCAGAAAUACUUGCUUCUGCCAAACUUUCUUUGUGAAAUGUGACACUUGCUUUCAUUGAGUAAUUUAUCCAGCUUUCUCUGAUCAUUUUCUCAUGUUCAUGCAUAUAUACUAGCAUCAAAUGCUGUUCUUGGGGUACAUCAUGUUGGCAAUAAACUAAAAUUUUACGGUU
Serinus canaria (Common canary) is the source of this 6439-nucleotide long non-coding RNA. RefSeq lists it as uncharacterized. The transcript is spliced from 2 exons. Lineage: Eukaryota; Metazoa; Chordata; Aves; Passeriformes; Fringillidae. The record is from RefSeq and is a predicted model, not a curated record.